Molecule: ribosomal RNA, 497 nt
Filed under: uncultured bacterium
Lineage: Bacteria
Description: partial 16S ribosomal RNA
Rfam family: Bacterial small subunit ribosomal RNA
Source: RNAcentral
GAUGAACGCUGGCGGCGUGCCUAAUACAUGCAAGUCGAGCGAACAGAUGAGGAGCUUGCUCCUCUGACGUUAGCGGCGGACGGGUGAGUAACACGUGGAUAACCUACCUAUAAGACUGGGAUAACUUCGGGAAACCGGAGCUAAUACCGGAUAAUAUAUUGAACCGCAUGGUUCAAUAGUGAAAGACGGUUUUGCUGUCACUUAUAGAUGGAUCCGCGCCGCAUUAGCUAGUUGGUAAGGUAACGGCUUACCAAGGCAACGAUGCGUAGCCGACCUGAGAGGGUGACCGGCCACACUGGAACUGAGACCCGGUCCAGACUCCUACGGGAGGCAGCAGUAGGGAAUCUUCCGCAAUGGGCGAAAGCCUGACGGAGCAACGCCGCGUGAGUGAUGAAGGUCUUCGGAUCGUAAAACUCUGUUAUUAGGGAAGAACAAAUGUGUAAGUAACUAUGCACGUCUUGACGGUACCUAAUCAGAAAGCCACGGCUAACUACGUG